Long non-coding RNA from Psammomys obesus (fat sand rat), 1993 nucleotides. RefSeq lists it as uncharacterized. NCBI's taxonomy places the organism in Eukaryota, Metazoa, Chordata, Mammalia, Rodentia, Muridae. The record is from RefSeq and is a predicted model, not a curated record. The transcript has 2 exons.
CCCAGAUAUCUCACUUGUGAAGAUAGGUGUAGGAGAAGGUGCCAGGGCUGUGGUUCUGAGUGUCAGGCUCAAGUCUUCCCAAGCAGAUCCUGUGGAUAGAAGCCCCGCAGGAUUUUUUUUUCUUCCGUGCUUAUGAAGACACCUCUUUCUACAUGGGCUUUGGUGGAGGUCAGUGGUGGAGAAGCAGUGCAUCUAAAUCAUGGUGGGAGUGUUCGGUCCUUCCCGGCUUCGUGAGGUUGAUUCCUGACCACCUUGCUGGGAAUGGCGCAGCUCACACUGUAAUCAACUUGACACAGAAUCUGGCAAGCACAUUGGCAUGUGAGAUUGAUUCCUGACCACCUUGCUGGGAAUGGCGCAGCUCACACCGUAAUCAACUUGACAGAAUCUGGCAAGCACAUUGGCAUGAAGGUGUUUGCUUUAGAUAUGUCCCUGACAGCAGCAGCCUCUACAAUGUUCUGAAUAGGGAACUGAAUGUCCUUGUCCUUAGGCACGAAGCUGGAGCGGCUGGAGCAGCGAAUUGGCUGCACAAGGAACCACUUUUUGGCACAACCGACCCUUGUCUCUUCUUUGUUGGUCACCUUGGAGCCAAGACCUGAGAGAGCUGAGGGGUUUUUGUUUAUCUGUUUGUUUUUGACAGAGCAGCCCACACAGGCCUGGACUUUAUUGUGUAGCCAACUCUGGCCUCAAAUUACAACUAUUCUUCUGCCUCAGCCUCCUGAGUGCUGGAACUACAGGUAUAAAGGACCAUGCUUGGCACGCAGGAGGCCUGACAUGCCGAUGUGCCUCCCUCCCGCAGCGGCAGCUCCGGUUGUUUGAACUCCCCUGUGCUUCAACAGACUGAUUUUUCUACCCCGAGCUGAGAGAUGACUCAGCAACUAAGCAUGCUUACCGCCCUAUGCCAUCAAGAUGGCUCAGCACUGGCCACCAAGCUUGAAGACCUGAGUUUGGUCUCCUGGACACGAGUAGUGGAAGGAGAAACUAACCCUUCAAAAACCGCACCCUAAGUGUGUCGUGGGCCUGUAGUGAGGCAGAGUAUCACCGCAAAAGGCUUCAUGGCAGCCUCAAGAAGGUCAGGAAGGAAAUGGAGCAACGGAAAGGAGCCAGAAAUGAGACACACCCUUCAAGACCUCCAGAGACCUACUUCCUCUGGCCUAGGAGCAUCUUCUAGCUUACAACCUCCCCAGGAGCCAUCAAGUCACGAACUCACUCUCGGAUUGAUUUAUUGGUUAGAUCACAGCCCUCCCAGUCCAGUGACUUCAAAACCACCAGAUGCCUGAGCUGAGGCCUCGCUGUUCAACACACGAGCCUCUGGGGGACGUUUCGUAUCCAGACUGUAACACCAGCUUACACGACUGACUACAAAUGGGGCAGAUUUUAACGGAGAGGGGAAAGUCCAAAAAUCAAAAGAGAAGGUAAACAGCAGGUCUGGCCAGUCUCGUCACUGUUUAACUUGCCAGGUGAUGACAGUACUUCUUUUUCCUGUUUUGAGACAGGAGGCUCCAUCCAGUGAGCCUUACCCUGAGCAGCUGCAAAGGCCUUUACGCUUGACUCUCUUCGUCCUGGCAGCAUGCUACCACCUAAACAGGAAUUAUGAUCCUCAGUUUACUGAAGUACCGUGGAGGGCAGGAAUGUCCUAUCAUUUCCUCAAGGUCACAGCUUGAUUGCAUCUUUGGAGGGUAGAGGGCAGGUCAAAGAUCUAAGGUCAGGGGGAGUGGCAGGCUGGCCCCACAUCCCCAAAGGCCAAGACAGGAGGAUAGAGGAGAACUAGCCUGGAAAAGGAAGGUCGUCAGCAGAGUGGAGGGGGAUGGAAAGAGCUUCGGGGCUAACUAGGAGACAGUAAAUAUAUUUAAGAGCUGCCAUUUGAACCACGUUGUUCUGUAUAAUUAAUGCAUCUUAAGAAAACCCUAAAAAAUCCAAAGGUCUUUUGUGUCCACGUUUGCUGUUUUAUUGCUGUACCAUUUUUGCUUUUAUAAAUUCUAAAAUAUGUACUUUA